UGUAGAGGACGUUAAACCGAGCGCGUGCAUAUGUGGUACGUAUAAAUUGGAGUUUGUAUGCCAAAGUUAUGAGUAUUUUUGUGUGAGGGGUAUUUUGGUCAUUUCAUCACACCUUAAUUAUAAGGGGCUGAUCAGCCCCAUUUCCAGCCAUUCUCCCCAUCCUUCACGACAGAAACCAGAAAGAAAAAAGAGAGAGAGAAAGAGAGAGAGAAAGAAAGAAAGAAAGAGAUCUUCCGGUGCGGAUUCCGGCAAUUUCCGGCAGCAAAAAUGUUGAAAGAAGUGUUAAGGAUGUUGAGAUGAAGCCGCUGUCAAAAUUUGGUGACCAUCGGAGGAGUUGGCCGACGAGUGAACAGUGCCGCCGAGUGAACAGUGCGGGUGACGUAUCAAAUUACUACUGGGUGAAGGAGCUCUUAUGCGUGGUUGCCUAAAUAGUACUUUUGCAGGCUAGAUUAGUUGAGGUCGGGCGUACAUGGAGUCGAGGCAUAGCCAACAGCAUUGCUUCCGCGUACUCAUUCUAUUUCUGUUUUAUGUGAUACCUAAUAGAUUAAUAUUGCUCUGAUAAGCUGUGGGAUUAAUAUUGUUUUUGGGUUGAGACUGUUAUUUGAGAAAUUGAAGUUGUGAUUUGGGGAGCAGGUGGCUCCAGGAGUAUAAGGUUGGUUUGUUUGAA
Molecule: long non-coding RNA, 667 nt
Organism: Rosa rugosa (rugosa rose)
Lineage: Eukaryota; Viridiplantae; Streptophyta; Magnoliopsida; Rosales; Rosaceae
Exons: 2
Source: RefSeq, a predicted model, not a curated record